RNAcentral lists this ribosomal RNA (253 nucleotides) under uncultured bacterium. RNAcentral's name for it is "partial 16S ribosomal RNA". It matches the Rfam family "Bacterial small subunit ribosomal RNA", at positions 524 to 776 of the family's 1533-position model. The record is from RNAcentral.
UACGUAGGCAGCAAGCGUUGUUCGGAGUUACUGGGCGUAAAGAGUAUGUAGGCGGUUGGGGAAGUUUGGUGUGAAAUCUCCCGGCUUAACUGGGAGGGUGCGCUAAAGACUGCCUGGCUCGAGUGUGGGAGAGGAAAGCGGAAUUCCUGGUGUAGCGGUGAAAUGCGUAGAUAUCAGGAGGAACACCUGCGGUGUAGACGGCUUUCUGGACCAUAACUGACGCUGAGGAGCGAAAGCCAGGGGAGCAAACGGG